GUUAAAAGAGUCGACAUAGAUGUACAGAUACCAUUGUCAAAAUCUGAAGGGAAAAGUAUAGUUUGGACAGAAAGUAAGAACUUCUGGCAAAUGGCAUGGGAUACUGACACAAAAGGGAGACAUUUGUAUAGGGUACAACACACAAUAGAAGCUAAGAGGAGUAGCGGAUUAAAGAGACAAGAGGAGGUUGUUAUUAGUAGAAUACGAACGGGCCACUGCUUUUUAAAUGGUACUCUUUUUAGGAUAGGUAAACAUCCGACUGGGUUGUGUGAUGGGUGCACUGAUAUGGAGACGGUUGAGCAUGUACUCCUUAGUUGUAGGAAGUAUGCAAGGCACAGGAGGGUGAUGUGGGGUGAAAUGAGUGGUGGAAGGGAACUUACAUUUGAACAAGUGGUUAAUGAGUUAAGUCAUGGUGAAGGGAAAGUGGUGGUUUUUCGUUUUUUGAGAAAUACUGGUCUCAUCAAGAGGAUCUAAGGAUUCAGGAGUGACGGACGAUUAACAGCCAGGAGAUGGCAGUAAUGCAACAGUUUUGGAUGCAAGCUGCCGUUAAACUUGACUGAAGAAGAAGAAGAAGAAGGUGCAUCUGGUGAAGUGAAUGUGCUGAAAGGAUCUCCUUGUUGGCUGUUGGAGUGAAUUCUACAUCAGAAACUCUUCACUGAUUACUCGCCUCUCCAACAGCUCCAUCCACCCCAAAUCACAACCCUGCAGACCCUAACCCUUCGUGGAUAUUGUCUUCAAACAGAUUAGUAGUAGUAGAAGUAAGCAAUCUGGCUCAUUCUAAAUCAUUUUAACUCUGUGGAUUUUGUUGCUCUGGACAGUUUUUGGGAUAAACUCACCCAGCUAAUACCCAUUUCCUCUUUCCUAUAUAACCUGUCUGUGACCAACUGUCAACUUACCCUGACUGGUGUAUUCCCAGAGUGCUGUCAAAGCCUUCUUUUAUCUAAAUUUCUUGGUUCUGAUUUUGCAUUUACUUGUUUUGCUGACCUACCAGGUCUGAGAUUACAUUCUUGAACUUUUAUACAAAAGUUUUAUAAAGACAUC
Oreochromis aureus is the source of this 1041-nucleotide long non-coding RNA. The record is from Ensembl. NCBI's taxonomy places the organism in Eukaryota, Metazoa, Chordata, Actinopteri, Cichliformes, Cichlidae.